GAUGAACGCUGGCGGCGUGCCUAAUACAUGCAAGUCGAGCGAACAGAUGAGGAGCUUGCUCCUCUGACGUUAGCGGCGGACGGGUGAGUAACACGUGGAUAACCUACCUAUAGGACUGGGAUAACUUCGGGAAACCGGAGCUAAUACCGGAUAAUAUAUUGAACCGCAUGGUUCAAUAGUGAAAGACGGUUUUGCUGUCACUUAUAGAUGGAUCCGCGCCGCAUUAGCUAGUUGGUAAGGUAACGGCUUACCAAGGCAACGAUGCGUAGCCGACCUGAGAGGGUGAUCGGCCACACUGGAACUGAGACACGGUCCAGACUCCUACGGGAGGCAGCAGUAGGGAAUCUUCCGCAAUGGGCGAAAGCCUGACGGAGCAACGCCGCGUGAGUGAUGAAGGUCCUCGGAUCGUAAAACUCUGUUAUUAGGGAAGAACAAAUGUGUAAGUAACUAUGCACGUCUUGACGGUACCUAAUCAGAAAGCCACGGCUAACUACGUG
This 497-nucleotide ribosomal RNA is filed under the name uncultured bacterium. Its description in RNAcentral is "partial 16S ribosomal RNA". It matches the Rfam family "Bacterial small subunit ribosomal RNA", at positions 28 to 507 of the family's 1533-position model. The record is from RNAcentral.